CGGAGCAGAGAGGAAGGCCGUGUGGUCGUAAGACUAUCCUGCACACGUUCCCUGGAAGAGUUCAGCCUUCAGCAGCACUAACCUGGCUCCUCAGCCUAAACUCACCUCUCGAACGUGUGGGAUGCUACGGCAGUACGGCGAUGGCAAGCUACUACAGCUUUCACAGCUAUCACACGGCACGUCAUAACUGUCCAGGAAACCCUACAAUUCCUCAAGUACUUCUUGUUUCUGACAAACAUCCUUCCUGCCCUUCACAAAGAGUAUUACAUCGUGCAGAAACGGUUAUGAAAAUCACGCCGGAUCAAGGGCAAACCGUGCUAACGUGAGAGGGAUCGGUCCGGCAGUGAUGACUAUGGUAUGAGUAAGCAGCCAGACACACGUGGCUAGCUCCAUUUUGAAAGCAGGGAAACUGAGGCAAGGAAAGGCACGCGAUGCUUCACCAGGCUAACGCGGGCAGUGCUUGGCAGAGGAAGCUCCACUGCAGAUGCUCUGUGGCCCAGAAACUCCACGCCCCAUUGCCUGGCCAGGCAGCUUCUACAGCAUCACCUCGGGGGAGAGAGACCCAUCACGGACUGCAGAGAGGCCGCCACCGCAUGCCAGGACCUCUGCGUGCACACGGUGCUGGAUGCGGAAUCACAGCCUCCCCGUGCAGUUGCCCUCGAGCUCCUGCUGCUCAUGACACGCUGUCACCUGACGGACCGGGACCAGCUCCGGGCGGAAGCGAGCCCGCUGCAUGUUAGCAGACUGGAGGGAAUUUGGACUUGGAUUGCCCAAAGCGGUGAGGUUUCCAGGCUGAUGGCAGCUUGGAUGCUGAUCUCCUUACAGGACUUUGAAGACUGCAUCCUCACAGCUUUCCCUGCACUUGCGUGCAAACAUUUUUGUUGCAAGGCAAGAGGGUGAGGAGGAGUCAGCGGAGCCGAUAAACAUGGUGCAAUUGAGCAACCCAAUAAACUUUAUCCAAUUUGUCUUACA
RNAcentral lists this long non-coding RNA (972 nucleotides) under Dromaius novaehollandiae (emu). RNAcentral's name for it is "lncRNA (ENSDNVG00000010608.1)". Lineage: Eukaryota; Metazoa; Chordata; Aves; Casuariiformes; Dromaiidae. The record is from RNAcentral.